AGUGAACGCUGGCGGUAGGCCUAACACAUGCAAGUCGAACGGCAGCACAGUAAGAGCUUGCUCUUACGGGUGGCGAGUGGCGGACGGGUGAGGAAUACAUCGGAAUCUACUUUUUCGUGGGGGAUAACGUAGGGAAACUUACGCUAAUAUCGCAUACGACCUACGGGUGAAAGCAGGGGAUCUUCGGACCUUGCGCGAUUGAAUGAGCCGAUGUCGGAUUAGCUAGUUGGCGGGGUAAAGGCCCACCAAGGCGACGAUCCGUAGCUGGUCUGAGAGGAUGAUCAGCCACACUGGCACUGAGACACGGUCCAGACUCCUACGGGCGGCCGCAGUGGGGAAUAUUGGACAAUGGGCGCAAGCCUGAUCCAGCCAUACCGCGUGGGUGAAGAAGGCCUUCGGGUUGUAAAGCCCUUUUGUUGGGAAAGAAAAGCAGCAGGUUAAUACCCCGCUGUUCUGACGGUACCCAAAGAAUAAGCACCGGCUAACUUCGUG
Molecule: ribosomal RNA, 492 nt
Filed under: uncultured bacterium
Lineage: Bacteria
Description: partial 16S ribosomal RNA
Rfam family: Bacterial small subunit ribosomal RNA
Source: RNAcentral